UUGUUUCACAUAUAAUUUUUUUAGUUACUUUUUCAUAUAGAAACAUUUUUAUAAAAAUUACCUAAAACAAUAUGAAGGUAUUAGUUGAGCUUUAUCGUAAAUCAUUUAUUAGAAACUUUUAUUUUGAAAUCCUCAACGAUUCUUGGUCACGUGACCGUUAAUAACAAAAAAUCUGCCAGACCUGUAUGUCCACGUGACUCUGCUAAAGAUCAUGAACAUUUAUAUCGCAGAUUAAACAUAUUAGACAUCUGGUGAGUGAUUGGAUUUACUGCAGGGGAUAAAAUCGACAACUUUUUUCAUCUGUGAUGUGUGUGAGCACUGACACUGAAUGUGUGCUUGUGUCUGAAGGUGAAGGCGGCUGAUCGUCUGGUGCAGGAGCGGGGUCUGCUGGUGACGGACCCUCAGUGGAGGGACAUCGUGAGAGAGGAGAAGAGCUUCUGUCCUCAGUGUGUGUCCACAUGACACUUUACAGUGGAAGUCUCAUGGAUAUGACAUUGCGAAGGUGUUUGGUCCUAAGCUGACGUCGGUGUCUCCGGUGUGGCUUCAGCUGAGACGCAGGGGACCGGAGAGCUUCCACAUCACCGGUCUCCAUGACCACGAUCCCGGCUGGGUCAAAGCCGUGAGGAAGGCCAAUAAAAAAAACAAAAUACCACCUGUCUGUCGUGUUCAGCUCUGGUCAGUCUGGCAUGUUUGGACGGGAGGAUUUUGAGAAACUGGCUCCUGUGGUGGACACGUUUAGUCUGAUGACGUAUGAUUACUCUGGACCGGGCAGGCCGGGUCCGAGCGCUCCUCUGGCCUGGAUCAGAGAGUGUGUGCUGCAGCUGGCUCCUCACAGCGAGUGGAGACACAAGAUCCUGCUGGGAAUCAACCUGUACGGCCUGGACUUCAGCAGCUGGGCGGCAGAUGUUGGAUGGGUGGUCUCUGAGUCCACAGCCCACUGUGGGGGUCUUACAGCAGCUGUCGGGGCACCAGGCGUCUGUCGGCAGAGAUCUGAAUCCAGGCUCCUUCCCUCCAGUCUGCUGAGCUGUUACUGCCA
Molecule: long non-coding RNA, 1036 nt
Organism: Carassius auratus (goldfish)
Lineage: Eukaryota; Metazoa; Chordata; Actinopteri; Cypriniformes; Cyprinidae
Exons: 6
Source: RefSeq, a predicted model, not a curated record